AUUGGGCCUAAAACGUCCGUAGCCGGUCUGGUACAUUCGUGGGUAAAUCAACCCGCUCAACGGGUUGAAUUCUGCGAGCACGGCCAGACUUGGGACCGGGAGAGGUGUGGGGUACUCUCAGGGUAGGGGUAAAAUCCUGUCAUCCUGAGAGGACCACCUGUUGCGAAGGCGCCACACUAGAACGGAUCCGACGGUCAGGGACGAAACCUAGGGGCACGAACCGGAUUAGAUACCCGGGUAGUCCUAGGUGUAAACGCUGUGGACUUGAUGUUGGGGGCGCUCCGAGCGCUCUCAGUGUCGAAGCGAAGGUGAUAAGUCCACUGCCUGGGGAGUACGGUCGCAAGGCUGAAACUUAAAGGAAUUGGCGGGGGAGCA
This 375-nucleotide ribosomal RNA is filed under the name uncultured archaeon. Its description in RNAcentral is "bacterial SSU rRNA". It matches the Rfam family "Archaeal small subunit ribosomal RNA", at positions 503 to 878 of the family's 1478-position model. The record is from RNAcentral.